CAGCCCUAAACGGUGCGCGUUAGGUGUAUCGGUGACCACGAGUCACCGAGGUGCCGAAGGGAAACCGUGAAACGUGCCGCCUGGGAAGUACGGUCGCAAGGCUGAAACUUAAAGGAAUUGGCGGGGGAGCACCAUAACGGGUGGAGCCUGCGGUUUAAUUGGACUCAACGCCGGGAAGCUCACCGGAUAAGACAGCGGAAUGAUUGCCGGGCUGAAGACCCUGCAUGACCAGCUGAGAGGAGGUGCAUGGCGUAGUCGUGU
This 261-nucleotide ribosomal RNA is filed under the name uncultured archaeon. Its description in RNAcentral is "partial 16S ribosomal RNA". It matches the Rfam family "Archaeal small subunit ribosomal RNA", at positions 748 to 1009 of the family's 1478-position model. The record is from RNAcentral.